RNAcentral lists this ribosomal RNA (493 nucleotides) under uncultured bacterium. RNAcentral's name for it is "partial 16S ribosomal RNA". It matches the Rfam family "Bacterial small subunit ribosomal RNA", at positions 29 to 507 of the family's 1533-position model. The record is from RNAcentral.
ACGAACGCUGGCGGCGUGCUUAACACAUGCAAGUCGCACUGUGAAGCGCCUUCCUUUUUGGUGGGUGUGGAUGAGUGGCGAACGGGUGAGUAACACGUGAGUAACCUGCCCCCUUCUUCUGGAUAACCGCAUGAAAGUGUGGCUAAUACGGGAUAUUCUGGGUCUGUCGCAUGAUGGGUCUGGGAAAGAUAUUGUUUCGGUGGGGGAUGGGCUCGCGGCCUAUCAGCUUGUUGGUGGGGUGAUGGCCUACCAAGGCGGUGACGGGUAGCCGGCCUGAGAGGGUGGACGGUCACACUGGGACUGAGACACGGCCCAGACUCCUACGGGAGGCAGCAGUGGGGAAUAUUGCACAAUGGGCGCAAGCCUGAUGCAGCGACGCCGCGUGAGGGAUGGAGGCCUUCGGGUUGUGAACCUCUUUCGCCAGUGAAGCAGGCCUGCCUCGUUUGUGGGUGGGUUGACGGUAGCUGGAUAAGAAGCGCCGGCUAACUACGUG